This 868-nucleotide long non-coding RNA is filed under the name Cyanistes caeruleus (blue tit). RNAcentral's name for it is "lncRNA (ENSCCEG00000017383.1)". The record is from RNAcentral. Lineage: Eukaryota; Metazoa; Chordata; Aves; Passeriformes; Paridae.
CAAGUUAAAAAUAUUUACAAAUCUACAUAUUUUAUAUAGAUUUGUCAAGGCCUUUUGUCUUAGUGGGAGCUGUUUUUGUCUCCACAGGAACACUUUCCUGCUACACAGUGUUUAUUACUAACACUUCACAAACAUUCCAUAAUAUAUAAGAAGUACACAAAUACAACAGCUAUAUUAAAAGGGUACUGUUCAAAAAUCUAAACCCCAUUGGAAGUGGCAAACAAAAGCAUCCAGUCAGCUCUAUUCUACAGCAGAUGAGUAUAAUAUUAGUUGCAGGUGCUCAGCCUUUCAGCUUGUCUCUCUCAGCCUGAUGUGUCCUUUAAGAGGCAAUGGCACAUAUUGCUGCACAUGUUCAGUUGCUCUACCUUUGUGCUGCAGCUCUUUACCCUGUAAAAUGUUCUUCUCAGUACACAAAAGCAGCUGCUGAAGAAACUGCUUCAGACCGAGGGUGAGAGAACUGAUGGCAGGAUCACUAAGCAAACUCCAGUAGAGACUGAGAGAACGAGAGGGUGCAGAGACACCGAAGGAGCUUCUGUGAAAAACAAAAAUAUCAGCAUUAUUGCCUGUCAUCAAACCCAGAUCCUAUACUCCAGAACUCUGAAACAGACUGAACCACAACAAAGAAGAUCUUACUUGAAGUCUUAAUCACCUUGAAUUCAGAUGACUCUGCUGUGACAUGGAAUAUGAUGUAAUAUGAGGGACUGAAUUUCCCUUCUUAGAGUUGGCUGUGCCACCUAGGGCUUCCCUGAUGGCACAGUACCCAGGAUAACCUUGCCCUGUUCCUAGAAUCUACCACUGGACCUUCCAGGUAUAUGUUCCUCUGAGGUUUCAAAAUGCAUCGUCCAAACAGAAACAGAGUUGAUCCCCC